This 274-nucleotide ribosomal RNA is filed under the name uncultured bacterium. RNAcentral's name for it is "partial 16S ribosomal RNA". It matches the Rfam family "Bacterial small subunit ribosomal RNA", at positions 523 to 796 of the family's 1533-position model. The record is from RNAcentral.
AUACGAAGGGGGCUAGCGUUGUUCGGAUUUACUGGGCGUAAAGCGCACGUAGGCGGAUUGACAAGUUAGGGGUGAAAUCCCGAGGCUCAACCUCGGAACUGCCUCUAAUACUGUCAAUCUCGAGACCGGAAGAGGUGAGUGGAACUCCUAGUGUAGAGGUGGAAUUCGUAGAUAUUAGGAAGAACACCAGUGGCGAAGGCGGCUCACUGGCUCGGUACUGACGCUGAGGUGCGAAAGCGUGGGGAGCAAACAGGAUUAGAUACCCUAGUAGUCC